AUUAUUUAUUUUAACUGUCCCGUCAAGGACGGAUUUUAACGCGAUAUCAAUGACUGGGAUCCCGUACGCUCGUGUUAUUGAAAAAAAUCAAAUAAAAAUUCAGAUCCGAAUAGGAUUGGAACGAUAAAUACCGGUUUCAAGCACGUUUGACCAUAUAGGGAACGGCAAGGGCCAAGGACCUCUUUAAAACAUCACUGCGAUGGACUUGAAUU
Molecule: non-coding RNA, 212 nt
Organism: Cinara cedri
Lineage: Eukaryota; Metazoa; Arthropoda; Insecta; Hemiptera; Aphididae
Source: the annotation of a GenBank genome assembly